CCUACGGGAGGCAGCAGUAAGGAAUAUUGGUCAAUGGGCGGAAGCCUGAACCAGCCAUGCCGCGUGCAGGAAGACGGCCCUAUGGGUUGUAAACUGCUUUUGUACCGGAAUAAACCCCCGAACGUGUUCGGGGCUGAAUGUACGGUAAGAAUAAGGAUCGGCUAACUCCGUGCCAGCAGCCGCGGUAAUACGGAGGAUCCGAGCGUUAUCCGGAUUUAUUGGGUUUAAAGGGUGCGUAGGCGGCCUGUUAAGUCAGGGGUGAAAGACGGUAGCUCAACUAUCGCAGUGCCUUUGAUACUGACGGGCUUGAAUGUACUUGAGGUAGGCGGAAUGUGACAAGUAGCGGUGAAAUGCAUAGAUAUGUCACAGAACACCAAUUGCGAAGGCAGCUUACUAAGGUAUGAUUGACGCUGAGGCACGAAAGCGUGGGGAUCAAACAGGAUUAGAUACCCUGGUAGUCCACGCCCUAAACCGAUGAAUACUCGAUGUUGGCGAUAUACGGCCAGCGUCUAAGCGAAAGCGUUAAGUAUUCCACCUGGGGAGUACGCCCGCAAGGGUGAAACUCAAAGGAAUUGACGG
RNAcentral lists this ribosomal RNA (579 nucleotides) under uncultured bacterium. Its description in RNAcentral is "bacterial SSU rRNA". It matches the Rfam family "Bacterial small subunit ribosomal RNA", at positions 338 to 916 of the family's 1533-position model. The record is from RNAcentral.